UACGUAGGGCGCAAGCGUUUAUCCGGAAUUAUUGGGCGUAAAGAGCUCGUAGGCGGUUUGUCGCGUCUGCCGUGAAAGUCCGGGGACUCAACUCCGGAUCUGGCGGUGGGUACGGGCAGGACUAGAGUGAUGUAGGGGAGACUGGAAGUUCCUGGUGUAGCGGUGGAAAUGCGCAGAUAUCAGGAGGAACACCGAUGGCGA
This 201-nucleotide ribosomal RNA is filed under the name uncultured bacterium. RNAcentral's name for it is "partial 16S ribosomal RNA". It matches the Rfam family "Bacterial small subunit ribosomal RNA", at positions 524 to 718 of the family's 1533-position model. The record is from RNAcentral.